This 429-nucleotide ribosomal RNA is filed under the name Verrucomicrobiota bacterium. RNAcentral's name for it is "Verrucomicrobia bacterium partial 16S ribosomal RNA". It matches the Rfam family "Bacterial small subunit ribosomal RNA", at positions 355 to 776 of the family's 1533-position model. Lineage: Bacteria; Pseudomonadati; Verrucomicrobiota. The record is from RNAcentral.
UAGGGAAUCUUCCGCAAUGGACGAAAGUCUGACGGAGCAACGCCGCGUGAGUGAAGAAGGAUUUCGGUUCGUAAAACUCUGUUGUUAGGGAAGAAAAAAUGUAUAGUAACUAUAUACAAAAGAGACGGUACCUAACCAGAAAGCUACGGCUAACUACGUGCCAGCAGCCGCGGUAAUACGUAGGUGGCAAGCGUUGUCCGGAAUUAUUGGGCGUAAAGCGCGCGCAGGUGGUUUAGAAAGUCUGAUGUGAAAGCCCACGGCUCAACCGUGGAGGGUCAUUGGAAACUAAUAAACUUGAGUGCAGGAGAGAAAAGUGGAAUUCCUAGUGUAGCGGUGAAAUGCGUAGAGAUUAGGAGGAACACCGGUGGCGAAAGCGGCUUUUUGGCCUGCAACUGACACUGAGGCGCGAAAGCGUGGGGAGCAAACAGG